RNAcentral lists this ribosomal RNA (102 nucleotides) under Escherichia coli. Its description in RNAcentral is "partial 23S ribosomal RNA". It matches the Rfam family "Bacterial large subunit ribosomal RNA", at positions 2052 to 2153 of the family's 2925-position model. Lineage: Bacteria; Pseudomonadati; Pseudomonadota; Gammaproteobacteria; Enterobacterales; Enterobacteriaceae. The record is from RNAcentral.
UGUGCAGAUGCAGUGUACCCGCGGCAAGACGGAAAGACCCCGUGAACCUUUACUAUAGCUUGACACUGAACACUGAGCCUUGAUGUGUAGGAUAGGUGGGAG